Oncorhynchus tshawytscha (Chinook salmon) is the source of this 744-nucleotide long non-coding RNA. Lineage: Eukaryota; Metazoa; Chordata; Actinopteri; Salmoniformes; Salmonidae. The record is from Ensembl.
CUGUUAUUGGUAAUGGUGAGAGGUUAGCAUGUUUUGUUGUAGUCUCUGUUAUUGGUAAUGGUGAGAGGUUAGCAUGUUUUGUUGUAGUCUCUGUUAUUGGUAAUGGUGAGAGGUUAGCAUGUUUUGUUGUAGCCUCUGUUAUUGGUAAUGGUGAGAGGUUAGCAUGUUUUGUUGUAGUCUCUGUUAUUGGUAAUGGUGAGAGGUUAGUAUGUUUUGUUGUAGUCUCUGUUAUUGGUAAUGGUGAGAGGUUAGUAUGUUUUGUUGUAGUCUCUGUUAUUGGUAAUGGUGAGAGGUUAGUAUGUUUUGUUGUAGUCUCUGUUAUUGGUAAUGGUGAGAGGUUAGCAUGUUUUGUUGUAGCCUCUGUUAUUGGUAAUGGUGAGAGGUUAACAUGUUUUGUUGUAGUCUCUGUUACUGGUAAUGGUGAGAGGUUAGCAUGUUUUGUUGUAGUCUCUGUUAUUGGUAAUGGUGAGAGGUUAGUAUGUUUUGUUGUAGUCUCUGUUAUUGGUAAUGGUGAGAGGUUAGUAUGUUUUGUUGUAGUCUCUGUUAUUGGUAAUGGUGAGAGGUUAGCAUGUUUUGUUGUAUCCUCUGUUAUUGGUAAUGGUGAGAGGUUAGCAUGUUUUGUUGUAGUCUCUGUUAUUGGUAAUGGUGAGAGGUUAGCAUGUUUUGUUGUAGACUCUGUUAUUUAUUAUCUAGAUCUUUUUUAAUCAUGGCAUCCUCAAAUCAAAUCAAAUCAAAUUUUAUUUG